AGAAUCAACGCUGGCGGCGUGCCUAACACAUGCAAGUCGAACGAGAAAGUGGAGCAAUCCAUGAGUAAAGUGGCGCACGGGUGAGUAACACGUGACUAACCUACCCUUGAGUGGGGGAUAACCUAGAGAAAUCUGGGCUAAUACCGCAUAAUACCUUCGGGUCAAAGGAGCAAUUCGCUUAAGGAGGGGGUCGCGGCCGAUUAGUUAGUUGGCGGGUAAUGGCCCACCAAGACUGUGAUCGGUAUCC
RNAcentral lists this ribosomal RNA (247 nucleotides) under uncultured bacterium. Its description in RNAcentral is "partial small subunit ribosomal RNA". It matches the Rfam family "Bacterial small subunit ribosomal RNA", at positions 26 to 288 of the family's 1533-position model. The record is from RNAcentral.